CAGCUCGAGCUCUCUCCCUCUCCCUCUCCUUCUCCUUCUCCCUCUUCCCCCACCUUCUCCCUCUCUCUCUGUGAAACAAUUAGGCCUAUCAAUUUCUUCGCCCCAGCCCGAGCUUGAAUUUUAGCCCAAUCUCUCAGCCCCAUAUCAGGCCCAUUAAAGAAUUAGCACUACAAGACUCGAAACAACUAAGAGGCAUAGGGGAGCCAUCUACUUCAUCGGGUCAAAGGCAAGAGGUAUGAUGGUCUAUUUGUUUUAGUUAAUGAUUUACAUGAAUUAAGUAUUUAUCAUGUUAUUUACUAUUAUCAUUUCUUAUUAAUUUUAAUUUUAGAAGAGAAUUAUACUUUGUAUCGAUGAAUCAACUCACACCCUAGCAAAAUGGAAGCUCGAUCAACGACAUGUAGCUCUUAUUCAAAAGACCGGAUUGAGCCCAUUGAUGAAUAUUGGCGUCUUGCAUGUCGAUUACAAUCUACUGAGGGCAUUUGUAGGGAAAUAGUGCAAGGCCACAAAUACUGCAUGUCUAACCAAUGGUGAAAUGGCUCCAUCCCUAUACGAUGUGUGACAGAUAUUAAGGAUACUUGUGACAAGCAAGCUUGUAAUCAGCAUCAGGCCUGAAAACUAUGUUGCAUUUGUCAAUGAGUAUCUAGGAGAUUGUCCUAAAGACGUCACCCCGAUUCGUAUCAAUUAUACAUGGUUGAGGAAGAGAUUUGAACAACUAUAAAAAAAAGCCCACCAAAUUAUAACUCACGCAAUACACACCUUUAUUUAGUUGGCACAACUAUAUUCGUCGACUCAUCUAAAGGAUCGACAUUUUCAAUAUACCUGCAAUUGUUUUGAGAUUUCGAUGAGACAGGGAAGUAUGCAUGGGGUGCUGCAAUUUUUGUAACAUUCCUUAUCUAACGUCGCAGACGGGAAAAAAAAUCAUUUUAGUGGGUCAGUGACCUUACUACAGGUAUUUCUCAAUAUCUUUAUAGUUUAUAUUUACAAAAUUACAAUUUCUUUGGUAUCUUACUUUUUGCUUUUUCUACAGUGCUGGAUCUAUGAGCAUUUUCGAGUUAUAGCCACCAAGCCUACAUUGGUCAUCAACCCAGGAAUGCCUAGAACUUGCAUGUAGAAGAACAACCACGCGACAAAGAUAUAUCAUUUGAUAACAUCUCGUUUGAUAUGGUGACCUGGCAACCAUAUGAGGAGUCAUCACAUGAAAUUGUAGAGUACUUCAUGUGCCGAUCAUACCUCAUAAGUUUUAACAUUACAAAGUACUAUAUGCCUGAUCACGUGCUGCGAUAAUUUGGGAAGGUACAAGGGAUUCCUAUUACACCACCCAAGUGUGAUAAGAGAGAGAAGGUCGGUAUACACCCAACAAAAUGGACUGAAGAGUUGAGCAUGCAGAUAAAAAAUUGAAAGCAACGAGAAUGUAAUGUGUCAAGGUAAAUUUGGUGGUGUAUCUAUAGAAGAUGGCCUGCUACAACAUGUUCAUACAAAGAUUUAUAAAAACCCCCAUGUGCCCCAUGUUGCAGACGCAAUCCCAUGUACAAUCCUCGACAAGUCAUGAUGACGAUAAGAGAUUGCUAUAUAAUUUAUUAUAUGUAUUUUGUUAUUUUAUUGUUUUAAUAUAUUUUAAAAUUAUGAAAAAUAAAACCAAUAAUCUAUUUUCUUUUUUUAUUGACUACUUGCAGCGGCAUACUUGUAUAGAGAUGCUACAAGCUGCGCUUAAUAGUGAAGUAUUAGCCUGGGAAUCCAGGCGUUAUGUAUAGGCCGCUCAUGAUCUAUUAUUGGGUAACACUUCUGUAGAGACAGGUGCUGAGGAGAUAGCGUGGACUAGGGGUGGAGAAGUGGACAGUGAAAGUGAGAAGGAUGAUGAUAGUGAAAGCGAAGAAGACCAUGAUGAUGGAGAAGACGAUGUUCAAAGCCACGAUGAUGGUGAGAGCAACGAUGAAAAUGAGAGAAGAACAAAGCAAAAAGGUGAUCACUUUAAAACACCGACGUUGCAAGAGGAAUCGAGUUGAAAUUUGUGAUCCCAAAGAGAUGGGAAAGUCUGGGAGGGAAUUUGUGAUCCUUUUUUUUAGUUUGAUAUGUAUGUUUGAAACAGAUGUAAAGUAAAAAAAAUGGUUGAUAUUGAUUUGAUGUUGAGUUUGAUAUGUAUUUUUUUAUAUUAAAAGGGAAAUGGUUCAAAGAUAGUUGGAUAUGUAUGUUCUUUGUCUUUCUUAAUGAUAAUGGUAUUUGGUUUCUCUCCCUAAA
Amborella trichopoda is the source of this 2235-nucleotide non-coding RNA. The record is from RefSeq and is a predicted model, not a curated record. Lineage: Eukaryota; Viridiplantae; Streptophyta; Magnoliopsida; Amborellales; Amborellaceae.